RNAcentral lists this ribosomal RNA (313 nucleotides) under uncultured bacterium. RNAcentral's name for it is "bacterial SSU rRNA". It matches the Rfam family "Bacterial small subunit ribosomal RNA", at positions 28 to 334 of the family's 1533-position model. The record is from RNAcentral.
GAUGAACGCUAGCUACAGGCUUAACACAUGCAAGUCGAGGGGCAGCAUGAACUUAGCUUGCUAAGUUUGAUGGCGACCGGCGCACGGGUGAGUAACACGUAUGCAACCUGCCCGUCUCAGGGGGAUAAUCGUCGGAAACGGCGUCUAAUACCCCGUAUGAAGCUGGACGGCAUCGUCUGGUUUUGAAAGAAUAUCGGAGACGGAUGGGCAUGCGGCGCAUUAGCUAGUUGGCGGGGUAACGGCCCACCAAGGCGACGAUGCGUAGGGGUUCUGAGAGGAAGGUCCCCCACACUGGUACUGAGACACGGACCAG